Molecule: long non-coding RNA, 4193 nt
Organism: Ictalurus punctatus (channel catfish)
Lineage: Eukaryota; Metazoa; Chordata; Actinopteri; Siluriformes; Ictaluridae
Source: Ensembl
GCGGAUUUUUCCAGAAUGAGUUUUAUUUUUGUGCUUUUUUUGAAUUGGCGAAAUUGCAAUCGCACAAAAUUGUCUUGCGCGGUCUUUCACAGUGGCGUUUGUUGCUAAUUGAGAACUUUUUAGCGGUACUCGUGUCCGAUGCACGUGAAUUCUAAGAGCGCUUUGGCCGAAUGCUCGUCGUGAUGAAGUCACGUGACGUGUCUCGGCCCAAAUCUGCAGAAAAUCUGCAGGCGUUUUAAUAAAAGAGGUUGCUUGAUUUUGCAUUCAUUACUACCAGCGCAAAAUCCUUGUCUCAUUAAGUUCUUGAGAGAGAAGGAGAUGCCGGUGAAGGGAACAGCCAGUUUACAGCCGCUCGUGGACGUUCCACAACAGUAUAUAUAACUAUAAACCGUUAAAAAAGCGCCACAUGUCGAUCGUUCAUUAAUUAAAUAUAGUAACUGUUGGCAAAUCUCUGAGGUAUAAGCAGAAUAAGACGCUUCAGAAGUGCACGUAUUAUUUUUGUAUAACAUCAUGGGUCAUGAUGUGUUAUUCCUUACAUAACAUACUUUUUUUCUUCUUCUUUUUUAUCUAAAUUUUUUUUUUUUUUUUUACAUUUUUAAGAAGCAACUACAACUUCAAACAAAAUAAAAUCAGAAAUCAAGUAUGACCAAAAACGGACAGCAGUACUGAUGUGCGUUUAUGUUGUUGAUGGAUUCCUGAUGAUAAUGACUCACUAUGCUCAUACAUUCAUGCAGCAGGAAGAGAAAGAAAAAAUAAAAUAGUGAAUAAGGAACUGGAAAUGUGUGUCCUCUUGAUGCCCUUUCGAAAUCCCAUCUCGGCCUGGUCUCAGAGAAGUGACUAAGAGUCCCAGUGCACCAGGCAGACAGACAGACAGACAGGCAGACAGACAGGCAGGCAGACAGACAGGCAGGCAGACAGACAGGCAGGCAUGCAGGCAGACAGACAGACAGGCAGGCAUGCAGACAGACAGAAGGAGGGUUGAGUUUAUGUGUGCUGUGUUGGAUGUACAGUGACAUUACGUUUCAGCCAUAAAUAGAUCCGUCUCAGUGAUUCUACCAUGCACCAUAGCUGGUGCAAAUGGGUUCAUCUUCCUGUCUCUGAAAACCUGUGUGUGUGUGUGUGUGGGUGUGUGUGGGUGGGUGUGUAUGUGUGUGCGCUAGUAUGUCUGCUCUGCUGCAGCUGAUGCUUUGAACUACUUCUUGUGGUUGAAAUAUGUGAAAAAUGCCACGUGUGUUUGUAGUGUUUGUGUGCACAUGGCCUUAAGUCACAUCGUGUUCAGACGCUCUACAUUUCCUCUAGACGAGAGCGAGAGUGUGUGUGUGUGUGUGUCCCAUGCCCUUAAUGUACGGUGUGUUUUUUUCCUCUCCAUCUUUCAGUGUGUCAUGUUGUUUUUAACUCUCAGCUGAGGCAAAACUGGGCCACAGAGUCGUCGACUCUGUAAAUGAAGACACUUCUAGUUCGUCUUCUCUCUUAUAUGCUCUGAGACUUGGCCCUGGAUGUCUCUUUUAAUCCACGUCUCUUUUAAUCCACAGUUGAGGCCAUGAAUUUCCAUACGCCUUUGCAGAAUCUGCGAAAAUGUUAAUAAUAAUAAUAAAAGAGAUCAGAAAAACUGUGUUCACGUUUUGUGAUCGAUGUUCACGAGUCCCUUGUUUGUCCUGCCCACUGUUCUUCAAGAAAAAGUCCUCCAGGAUCUGCACAUUCUUUCCUUUUCCAGCAUUUUCUGCAUAUUUGACCCCUUUCCGACAGCGCCUAUAUGAUUUUGAGAUCCAUCUUUUCACACUGAGGACGACCGAGGGACUCGUACACGACUAUUACAAAAGGUGCAAACAUUCACUGAUGCUCAAGAGAGCAACACGAUACAUUGAUAGCCAGGGGGGUGUCAACUUUUGAACAGGGUUAUCUGUGUAAAUUGUUAUAAUUGUGUCUUCUGGGAAACAUGUAAAUAUCUUCUGAAGGGCUGUACUAAUAAAAAAUUAAUUAUAUAAAAAAAAAAGAUCUUGACCUCAGCUGUAUGUGUUUAUCAAUUACGAGUUUCAACUCAUUUCAGUACGAAUUCACAGCACUGUAAUAUCGAAACAGGAAAAGUUGACACCACUACACUUGUCUCUUCAAUAAGGAAUAAAACACUUGCGGGUGUGCCUUUAUAUGGAGACAAACAACACUGGUGGUGACGUGAUGCGGCCCGGCACGACACGUGAUUACUGUUACCACCUCGCCGCUGAUUAUUUUCUAAUAGCAGCACGUCUACUUAGGCAACCUAUUUUUUUUUUUAAGUACAAACUUUUAUGGAUUUUUAUUUUAUGACUUCAACGUCUUAUGACAUCUCAUUUCUAAUAUAUUACACAAAUAUACAGGUUUAAGACGCACAAAUAUACACAUUUUCAUGAUCAAUUUCAGUUAAACCACACAUGCAGUGUACGAGUUUUGAUGGAAACACUUGUUUUAUCUGCUAUUUUGUACUACAACAAUUUUAUCUACUGUACCUAUUUGAUCUACUAAACCGUACUAUACUACACAAUAGUAUUACUAUUUUACCUACUGUACUGUACUAGAAUAUAAUAUACUAUAGCUCAGCUUAGGAGCAUGAUAGAGCAAAACUAUGUGCACUGAUGUGUUAGUCUCGAUCUCCCUAACGCACACUGUGAAUUUGGGGAAGAUCCGAGAACGUCAAAUUUUUCACCCAAAAUAGAAAAAUGGUAAGGGGUUAGUUAACCUUUGUGAUUUUUUGGGGGGUGAAAAAUUCAUCGUUCCCAGAUUCACACCAAAUUCAUACCGUGCGUUAGGGAGGUCAAAACGAACCGAAGAGUCUGAUUCGUUUCAUCCGAUCAUGCUCCACUAAUAAAUGUUAUUUAUUUAUUUAUUAAAGAACGACAUGUACUUUUUCAUUGUCCCCUCUCUUUCUUUCCCAUUCUUGAAGUUAAUAAGACAAAAAUGCAGCUUGUCACGUUGCAGAGAAAACUCAGAACUCAAAGCGUCAACUCCUCGGCCCUGAAAAGUUUCCUCUUUACCCGCUGACACUGGAGACUCCUUCCAAAAAGGCUACAUUUUCUCCUUACAGAAAAAACUACAUCACCAUAUCAAUGAACAAUUACACACCUUAUAAAAUCUGCUUAUGUGAGGCAUCUACCGUACAAGUCGCUGCUGUUGAAUGAGCUGUUACUAUAGAAACCAUAGACCAUAGAGAGAGAGAGAGAGAGAGAGAGAGCGCUCAAUAAUAUAAUCCUUGCAGCCGGAAUUACUGUCAGACCAAUCAGAAUCGAGACUUCAACAGAGCCGGGGUAUAAAACAGAUAUAUCCAUUUAUCUUAAUGGAUAAUAAUUGAAAAGAAUAUCUGAUCCAUCUGCAAGAUCAGACCUGAAAAUGGUGAGAGGAUACACAGUGACUGAUACGGUUACAAAAAAAUGUUGUAACAUUUUUUAAAAAUCUGAACCAGAGGUGUAAUUAUCUCUGAUUUUGCAUCUGUGUUCUCUUCUUCAAUUACACACACACACACACACACACACACACACACACACACUCUCUCUCUCACUCAUUCGUGCAUACAGGGUAUUAAUUAAGAUCUUAAUCGUGGAGACGUGGCUCCUGGGUCUCUGAAGACUCCUCUCUCUCUCUCACACACACACACACACACACCCAAGGUUAUAUAACAGUGACUGAUGAGGGCUCUGGAGAGAGUCAGAGAUAAGCGGAGAGAGAAAAUAGCUUUUAAACAGAGGAAAUAAACAUAAUUUCUCACAAUAACGAUGAUGGCCGUGUGCUAGAGAUGUUUGACAGGCUAAUGCAGAAGGGGGCUGAGAGUCAGGAUGCUGUUAAACUCUUAAUACAACAGCAUGUAAAGCUGAUGGGCUUCGUUUUUGGUAAAGAGUAAACCCCUUCAACCAGCCACUUUAAUAGGAACACCCGUACUUCUGGUCAUUCAUGGAGUCAUUAUCUAAUCUACUAAUCAUGUGGAAGCAGCACAAUGCAUUAAAUCAUGCAGAUGCAGGUCAAGAGCUUCAAACAUCAGAAUUAAGGAAAGUUUUUGAGCUCAGUCACUUUGGCUGUUGCAUAGUUUUAUUGAUGAGAUAGGUCAGAUAAUCAAAUAAUAAUAAAAUAAUCACUCUUUACAACCGUGGUGAGCAGAAAAGCAUCUCAGAAUGCAGAACAUGUCAAACCGUGAGGCGGAUGAGCUCCAACAGCUGAAGAGCACAUCG